UUUAUUUCAAGAACGCAAAAUAUAUGAUGAACACAAAUUUUAAACCACUACUAUCAACACCAACAUCGUUAACAUAGUGAUUCAAGCAUCAAGAGAGAAUAUACUACAAUGACAUUUUUAGUUCACCAACGGCACAUAUUACACAUCAACUGCACAUAACACAACACAUCAACUACACAUCACUUAUUUAGUUAACCACUAAUCAUGCUGGCCCCUUCCCUUUCAAAUCCACUCCCGCACUUUCGUUGGCCUUCCUUAUUGUCGCAUUCAAAGAAAUCUCAAUGUUUCAUUCCUCGGAGACCAUGUGACAAAGAGAUUGGAACAUGCGAGAGCACUACUGAACUUCUUCAAGUGCUGCAUGAUUAUUCGAGUUAAUGGUAACAUUACUCGAUCCACAGCUUGAUUUUCCCUCGUUGACCCAUUCCCAAUAUUUAUAGUUAGCACUACAGUAGUUGAACAUUUUUCCCUUGUUCUUCGUCUCCCUCUUGAUCUCGAAGCACUUCAGAAAUCCACUUUUACACAAGGGGCAUCGCCUUUUGUUUGGGCAAUCCGCAAAUAAGUGGCCUUAUCUCUAUAGCUAUGACAAAGUCCGAAGUUUUUUCCUGGCAUACUACACACAAACGACACACAGAUUACAUUACAUUAAACAACUAUACAAGUUUUUAACAAAAUUCCCUUGCUUAGUGCAAUCGAGUUACUCACAAAAUUCGAAUUUAAAACAAAAAAUAAAUGUCAAGAACUAUAUCAACAGCAAACAAAAAUUCAGAAUUUGUUAAAUUUAACACAAUUUGUGGCUAUAUUUUCUAGUUUAACAGCAAACAAUUUAAUUCAAAACCUUAUAUCUUCACAGCCUUUGGCAGUAAGAUAAGAUUUGGCAAUGAUAACAAACAAAUACAAGUUCAAAUCAACAAUAGCCACAGAGAUAUUCCCAUUACAAAGUCCAAAUGGAGUUCAAGUGUCCAAUUUUCCACCCCUAACCACACAUAAUAUCUUUUCGCAGCCAACGGUGCCCAGAUUAACAUAUAUUCAACACUAGCCCAGAUUAUCACAUAUUCGAAACUUGCACAUAUUCGAAAUGGAGUUCAAAACUUUGCAACGCAGUAUGUCGGGUUCUUCAAAGAAGUAGAGAUGAGGGUGAGAUUUUUCCAUUCCUUGAAGCUAAAAUUACUUCACCACAGUAAAACACAAUGACCAAAUAUCAUACUUACAUAAUAUUUGCUCAAGAUUCCGUCGGAGAAGAAGGCAUCAACGACGGGCAAUUUUGCUGCGUACAGAGGGCUUCAAUCUUGCGGCUAUAAAAAAAUUUCUCACGACCGUGUAAUUAACUUAGUGUGGAAAACAAAAUUAUAGAGAUGAUCACUAGAUUAAGCAUCAUCUUCUCAAUAUUGUAGAGUGCAGCCUCAGAUCUCCUCGCAUUAGUUGAUUCAUUAAAGAGGGUUUU
This 1441-nucleotide long non-coding RNA is filed under the name Olea europaea subsp. europaea. The record is from RNAcentral. Lineage: Eukaryota; Viridiplantae; Streptophyta; Magnoliopsida; Lamiales; Oleaceae.